Molecule: long non-coding RNA, 437 nt
Filed under: Brachypodium distachyon (stiff brome)
Lineage: Eukaryota; Viridiplantae; Streptophyta; Magnoliopsida; Poales; Poaceae
Description: long non-coding RNA (BDIS_LNC001773)
Source: RNAcentral
ACCCAUUUGAGAUUUGGAUCUUCAAACUAAUAAGGUUUAUUUAUAAAAGGGGUUUAUUGCAUAAAUGAGCUAUCCCAUAAUUUUUGGAUAAUUUUUGGAGUUGAAAAACUAUUUAUUUAAAUAGUUAUUUAGCCCUAAAGGCAUUUAUUGGGCAAAUGUAUUUUUGUAUAUUUUAUUUUGAGGGGAAAUUACUCCCAAAAGUUGUAUCAUGAUAAAACAUGAUUUUACAAAUUGUAUCAUGGAAUUUAUUUGGACCAAUUUAGAGUUCAAAAUCAAAAAAUAUCAAAGAAAUGAGAAAAGGAGAAAAAGAAAAGGCUAAAAGAAAAAAAAGGGAGAAAACCGGACCGGCCCGGCCAAAUGGACCGAACCUGCCCCGCUUCGCCCGCACCGAACCGGACCAAGCCAGCCCAGCCGCACGCACGCGCGCCCGCAGCCAC